RNAcentral lists this ribosomal RNA (465 nucleotides) under Tissierella sp. canine oral taxon 029. Its description in RNAcentral is "bacterial SSU rRNA". It matches the Rfam family "Bacterial small subunit ribosomal RNA", at positions 9 to 456 of the family's 1533-position model. Lineage: Bacteria; Bacillati; Bacillota; Tissierellia; Tissierellales; Tissierellaceae. The record is from RNAcentral.
GAGUUUGAUUCUGGCUCAGGACAAACGCUGGCGGCGUGCUUAACACAUGCAAGUCGAACGAUGAAACGGAACGGAAAUUUUCGGAUGGAAGUUCUGUGGAUUAGUGGCGGACGGGUGAGUAAUGCAUGAAGAACCUGCCUUUCACAUAGGAAUAGCCUCGGGAAGCCGGGAUUAAUACCAAAUGACACUCCGAGAUCGCAUGUUUUUGGGGUUAAAGAUUUUAUCGGUGAAAGAUGGCUUCAUGUCCCAUUAGCUGGUUGGUGAGGUAACGGCUCACCAAGGCGACGAUGGGUAGCCGGCCUGAGAGGGUGAACGGCCACAUUGGAACUGAGACACGGUCCAAACUCCUACGGGAGGCAGCAGUGGGGAAUAUUGCACAAUGGAGGAAACUCUGGUGCAGCGACGCCGCGUGAGCGAUGAAGGUCUUCGGAUCGUAAAGCUCUGUCCUAAGGGACGAUAAUGACG